AACCCUCCAGUCCUCAAUAAGAAUAAUUUGCCCAGCCACUGCUGGUCAGAUAACACACAGCAGAGCUGUUGGUACUACGUUCUUGGAUCAAAGAUUGUAUUAAUUACAUAUUUUCUGGAAUACAACUCUCCUUCCUACAGGGCUAAAGCUGUUAUGCACUGUCAAUACAUUCUACAGAUAUCUCUGCUAACUCUAAUCUCCCUGCCAGGUACGUUUUAUCUUUGUUUCGGUUAAUUAUAUCUAUCAGUGGUUUUUCUCAUCACAAGGGCAAUGAUGUUUUAAAUCGCGGUUUUCAGGCACACUGGCCCAGAACUGGUCAGUUUGGUACAGGGACAGGGACAGGGACAGGACUAUCGUUAUCUGUGCAUCAAAAGGCUCAUCAGUGGUAUUUGACUGUACAUACAGCUACCCAGCUACCCAGAUAGUUAGAAGAAGGAUAUGGUUCACUCCGAGAGACUAGACGGCUCACAGCAAGGAGAUGGAGUGUUUAACACAUCUGGACUGAUUAAGACAAGAUACAGUAUAAGAACAGAGUUUUAUGACCAAGACAAUAACUGCACACUGAAACUCAACAAUGUGACUGAAGAUGACAGUGGUCGAUUUUUCUUCCGAUUUUAAUCAAAUACAAGUAAUGACGCCCCUCAGGGAUUUACAGGAUCAUUGGGUGUGGACCUGAAAAUAUCAGUCUUAUCCCUAAAGUUAAAUGAAAAUGGCCCUGUUAAGAAGAGAGAUAAUGUCAUCCUGGCCUGCACCUCCACCUGUAAACUUCCUCAAAUGGAGUUCCUCUGGUUUAAAGAUGGCCGCCCACUCUCUGGUGUCCCUGGUGGGCAGUAUCCUCUAGGUCCACUUUCCCCUAAUGACACUGGGUGCUACUCCUGUGCUCUGGGGCAAGGCAUAUCUACACCAAUACUGCUGGAUGUGAGAUAUGCUCCAAGGGACGUUUCUGUUAAGGUCAGCCCGAGCCCCGAGGUAGUGAACGGCAGUCGUCUGACUAUGACCUGCAGCAAUAACGCCAACCCUGCAGCACAGACCUACAUCUGGUUUCAGAGGUCAGGACCGCUAACUUCACUAAGAUUAGGGAUGGGGAAAGAACACACCUUCAAAGAAAUAGAUUCUGAUGACAGUGGACUGUACUUCUGUAUGGCCCAGAAUGCCCUUGGAUCACAGAACUCUACAGACCUGGAGGUGAAAGUUAAAGGUUGUGCAACACUUCUGCACUUCUUGUAUGUCACGCUGUUGUGAUAUCUGUCCUGUGUAUCUCAACAAAACAAUGGCAUGCAGACAGGGAUAUGAAGUUACAGUAUAUGAUGUUGCAUGUCAUCUGUGGAAUAUCUUGGAGGAAAUAUUUUAUAUACAAAACCAUGGUCUGAUCGGUUCUAAUAGUGUAUUUUCAGAAUCAGCCCAUUUAAUGAUGGUCCUGGCAGCAUUUUGGGCUCUUUUCCUUGUCACAGCAGUGAUUGUGGUGCUCAACAUUUACAUAAAAAGAAUUGGAACAGGGCUGAGAAGAAGCUUCCGACCAAACAAGUCCCCCAGGUAGGUGUUCAGAGGAAAGUAAUGUACUAACAGUAGCCUUACUGUGGUUGUCUGCUUCUACCCCUUCACCAACACAGUCAGUCUGAUCACCAGGCCCUGUUGUCUGAAGGGAAAUUACUAAAUCGGUAACUGUGGAGAGUCACUUCAAAGUGAUGCAAUGGACUAUGUUGUCAUUGCAAAACAAACCUUACACAUGUAAUUUAUUGUUCUAUUUUUCUUAGAUAAUAAAAACCGGCUCGUAUGAAAGUGAAUGGUAAAUGUGUAAAUCAAUCCCAUUGAACUUUGAGUUAGUUAAACUAUACCAAAGAGUAGAAAGAGAGUCAUUCUAUGUCUGGGGCCAGUGCUCAGUAUUUUGACUGUAUUCUGACUGUUAGAUACAAAAAUCAACAUUGUCUACACCAGAGGACAUCUAUGAAAACAUGAGACGGUCAGUCAAGCCGAUCACUGAUCCUGAUGACAUGAACUACGCAGAGCUCAAUAUCAGCCCUGCUCCUUCACCCAUGUAAAUAACCACAGAGAGGCAGCGGAAUAACAAGGCAGAGGAUGACAAUGCAGUUAACUACAGCCAACUACAAUCACACUGAGGUGGUCAGAGUAAGUACAAACAAUGUACAGUGUACAAUGUACAAAAUAAACAGUAAAAAAGUGGAUAAUUAAACAAAUACAAACAUAAAAUGAUUACAUGAGAACACAGGGUAUGCCAUUUAACAACAGGUUAUAAAGAAAUGUGCAUUUCAUAUUGCUCUGUGCUAUAUAAGAGAUCUGUAUAUUUCUCAUGAUUACAAC
Non-coding RNA from Salmo salar (Atlantic salmon), 2319 nucleotides. The record is from RefSeq and is a predicted model, not a curated record. Lineage: Eukaryota; Metazoa; Chordata; Actinopteri; Salmoniformes; Salmonidae.